GUUUCCCGCCCUUAUCACCUGAGGGAAAAGAGCAGUGUGAAGAGAAGGGCUGCUGCCGUUUUGAGGUUCUCCUGAGUCUUCAGUUGAUCUAUAACCGAUAGCAAAGUUCAUUCAGAAAAGAGUUAAGCAUCACUGCUGACAGCUCAGUAAAAGCUCCAGAGUUUUACAAGGAUGACAUGGAUGUAGUGGAGAGUCCAGCAAAGGACCAUGAAGAUGAUGAAGGAUCCGAAACUUCUCUCUUAAGAGGAAGAAAUCACGCUGCACAGCGCUUCCAAGUAUGAACAAAUCUAAAUGAAGACAGCUGGCAGAGGCUCUCGUCAUCUAACUCCUUCCAGAUGUGUACUUAAAUGCUGCAGUUCUUGACUGGUGACACCUCUGAUCUUGAUUGAUUGGUGUUCUGCCAUUGGGUCAGCUGCUGUUAAUCCUGUAUUUAUAUUUACCCGAUACAUCUCUCAUUCCAUUUUCUGGAAUUCCCCUGCUCUGAUGGCCGCAUCGCAGAACAUUUAGCUUUCAUUUAUGUGCAGAAGAAACUAAACUCAUUUGAAUUUUGCUGCUUCUUAAGCUCAAAGUUUCCCCUGCCCCUUUUUUUUCCCAACAUUUUUAACAGGGAUCAAAGGAUGUUUUUACUCUUGCAUGAAGCUGUUUCUUUAAAGCCUGUGUUACAAGUGAUCUGGUGAGGCUGUGCACUGAUGCUGAGCCCUCUGAGAGCUCCUGUGGCUAGCACGGAUUAAAGGAACUAGGUCAAAUUUCUAAACUAUAGCAUACAUCUUUCUGCUGUUCCAGCUGGACUAUCUAUAAAAGCUGGAAAAGAAAAUCAGAGUCCUGGAAAGAGGUUUUGCUGGAUGUGCACUUCCCAGAACUCCCCCGAAAAGCAAUCCAACUGUGCAGGCUGCAGCGGAGGAUCUUCAAAAGGUUUUUCCUAAAUCAACCCAGCCGGCUGAAAUCCACCGGGAAAACUUUUGAGAAUAUUGCUUGCAAGAUGGAUGGAUAAUGCAAAAAGCACGAAAACAAUACGGAAGAAAAGACAUUUUUCUACAUGGUGCCACUCCCAGCAUUAUUUUAUGUGAACCAAAGCAUAAAUAAACGUGUUUCUCCUUCAGCCUUAAGUGCAGGUAGAAGGACAUCACUGCAAAACAGUGUUCCCUGGCAUAGGACAGAAAACUGCUCUCAUGCAUACAGCAGCGCUGCAGAAUGGCUUGGAGUAAGCAAGGAGAAGAGGCUCCCCACCCAUUCAAUCUCCUUCAGGGGAAGAAAGAGGCAGAGCACGGCAUGCUGCCGUCCUUGGUGGGAAAUGUGAGUGCCAUUUCCAUCCACCGGGCAGAGGGACUGCGCUAUUGAACUUUUUUCAUCUGUAGCUUCUAUGAAACACUGCUGGCCAGCCUGGAACUUGGCCAAAACAACAUCCUGGUUCCUCAGCAAGUGCUGUGGGAUCAGACCACAUGUGACGAGGACCCCAGCUCCGUGUUGCAUUGGGAAGAGAUGGCCGUCGUGACCCCUGCUGUGCCCUGGGAAAGUCAUUUGGCUGUGGCUCACAGGAAGGAGAAGGUUUGCUUUCUCCAGAUCCAGGAUUUCCUCUUAGGCCUUCUUUAUGUGCUGCAUCACAUCUUACCCCACUCUCACAUGCUGGGGCCAACAAUCACCCAGGCUACUAGCCCUCCUGUGCUGACCCUGGGGCUGCACUCUGGCUGCCUGGUCUGGAGGGGGCCCCUACUUCUGACCCAAAGGUGCCCAUAGGACCAGGCAGCCUGGGCAUGGGACAAGCAGGCUUCCCAGCGUGGGAAAUUUCUAAAGAAGCAGUCUGUAAACCACAUUUUCAUCUAACUGGUCUAAAUAUAUUUCAGUUUCAAAACACACACUUAAAAAUAACUUACAGAAAUAUUUAUACGGACACUGAAAGGAACUUUCCAGCUUUAGGGAUUCAGCAAAGCCCACAACUGCCUUCCUGUGCAGUCACUCCUAGCCUGUUGUUGAGCCUCUUGUUUUGAAAGCGUUGGAGUCUCUUUCUCCUCCAGUUAUCUCGCCUCACUCCACCCUGACACAUGAACUCACAGGGCUUUGCAUUCAGCAACGUCAGGACUGAUAUCGCACGGCAGCUUUUCCCACAGCUGCAAUCAUAACUCCUUCAACAGCACAAUUUUUCUUGCAGGCUAAAAGGGAAAAGUUUGGCUUGUGUAGGAGAAUUCAGCCCCAGGGAUGGGGCAUUACACAUCUUUAGGAGCUCCCUUUCUCAUUUCUUCACUCCAUGCCGAUUCAUUCAUCUGGCUGUCUCAGCUCCUGUGGGGCUUAGGGCAGAUCUCAGCCCUUGGAAGAUGUAUGUCAGCAUUGUAUUGUGGGGCAAAAGAUCAGAGCUUGAAUCUUUUGGGUGCCGUGGCAAUAAAAAAAGCAAUGGUAAAGGUAAAUGUGUAGCUUUCUGUUGUGAUUUUCACCAUCAUCAGUUCCUUUUUAUGACUGGUUUUUGCUGGGACAAUGUCAGCUAUCAGAGGGUCAGGAGGUGUACCAGCCACUUCCUCUCUUCUACACAGGCAGUCCCCUUUGAUAAAGAAAGGCUGGGCUCUUGCUAAAGCAUCACGGUACGAUUGAGUACACCAGCCAAUACACUAUGUUAUAUGGGAGAGAAGCAGUCUGACAUGUCGAGACAAAGGUUGGCUGAUAAGGAUGCAUUGUGUCAUGUGCCAGUGUGCCUCAGCUUUUCCAAAGAUAUCUCUGUAACCCAGGAAUGCCUUCUAGGAGGCUGGAAAUGUCUGUAUUUCAUGUCACUAGAUUUUAUUCUUAAAUCAUGACACAGUGUUUGUUCAGUACAUAUUGCAGCAGUGGUGAGAAUCUUUCCCUUGUUUAGCAGGAACAAACAGCCCAGAAGAAGGUGUGCUCACUGGGAUGAAGGCUAUUUGGAUUACAAAAAAGGUCAAAUGAGUGCAAACCCCAUUGAAGCUGUAUAAGCCACUCUGUCUGGCUCAGUGCUGCAGGAGGGACUGUGCUGGAGACACGAAACUGCUGGAGAAGCUCUGUUUGCAAGAUGCAUUUGUGCUGCUGGAGAGGCAGUAGCUUGCACAGGAAAGACACAAACACUCCAUCAAAACUAGUUCUGUGAUGCCUUUUAUGGGAGCAAUUUGUGACACUUUAAUAUAUCACUACCAAUGAGUCUGUGGUUUUGAUUUUCCAAGUAAGAUUCAGAACCCAACUGGCUUGCUAAUGAUUUUGUCUCUCUCUCUACCCCUGUAUUUCUUUAUGGACGAAGAGCGCUAUGUGGGUGAGAGUGUCUUAGUGUUUUUCAUCAAACUUCAAUCUAUCAUUUCAUACAAGCUGUGGUAACAGACUCUAGGCCACCAAUUAAAUGCAACUAGCUCCAAAAUGUCACACAACAUCUAUUUAAAACAGGCCAAACUCCAGGCUUGGAUUAAGACCCGGGCAUUCAUAAAAACACAGGAUUAAACUGAAAGCUCCAAUUUCCUUUAAAAAAGAAACUUUUCUGCUCUCUCACUGCACAGAAAAGAUCAAAUCCCAGAGCUAAACAGAAGUGAUACGGCAGCUUCUUCUGAAGGCUCCAAAGUUGGAGGGUGCAGCACAGUGCUUCAUCUGGCAGCUGUGAUGUCCAUUUGCUCUGCCUCCUGCACUGAGAUUUUCCAUGCCUUUGAUUUUGCUACUCCUGUUGUUUGUGAGUUGAUGUGUUACAAAGGCACACAGAUUUUUGUUUCAGAAGAAUGUUUUUUUUUAAACUCAAAGGAUGUUCUUUUUUAAACCAAAUCUAUUUCUGUGAAUGAGAUCUUUCUGUGCUCAUGCACCGAGAUCAUAGCAGAUAACUUGGUACUUGGAGCGUAGUGGUACCAAAAGCCUUGGGUGCCCUAACUUUUCCCUGUAAAUACUACUGGAAAUAAAUAAGUGGAACAGCUGCAUUACAUUUACAUCUAGAAUGAGACUGAAGCCUGUACCAGGGACAGAGAACCUUGGAAUCUGCAGUAUGGGAGCUGCUGGGAGCUCUGCAGCAAGGGAACCAGCUUCCCACUAUGCUCUGGCGAGAUCUGGCCAACCAGCACACCAAUUUCAGACCAAGCCAGUAGAGGUCACAGUAGGUCCAACGAAUUCCCCACGCCCUCCUCCCAGCCAAGCCUACCCUCACAUCUCAAACAAUUCACCUCUGACUGUUAUUAAACCCUCUUCCAACUCAACAACCUAAGCAGUCCUAUGCAGACAGUCUUUUCUGGAGGGAAAAAUCAGAUGCUGGUAAGUUGAGCAGUGGACUGUCUGUGCCUACUUUCCCCACUCUGUGCUCCCACUACAGCUAGAGUGUGGUACCUUGGAGGUGAAAUCUGUCAUGUGGGUGUGGACAUUUUUUCUUCAUAUCAUUCCACAGAGGGAAAACACCAGACCUGCCAGAUUGUCAGGGUCCCUUAUCUUCGCAGACCUCUCACCUUCAUCCAACCUGUGCCAAGUUCAUGCCAGCCUAGAUGACAUUCGCACUGCUGAAAGUCCCCAAGGUGAUUGGGUCUAUAUAGGACAGAAGAUCAUACCUUCCCAUGCUGCAUCGUCUGCAGGGCAGCAAAUGCUCUAGGACAAUCACUUGAACAUCUUCAUCUUCUAAUGAAUGAACAUCAUCAUCUUAUAAUGGAUCCUUGAUGUCCUAGGCUCCCCUGGGGUCUUUCACAAGAGUUGGGACGUGCUCAAGGAGGAACAGGCACUGCAGAGGGAAGCAGGCUUACAGUCAGCUAGUCUAUUUCCCUGCACAGCUACAGCUCUGUGAGGAAACUUCAGGCGCCACAAAUACAAGACCAAAUUUGAAGUUCUUUGUACGGGGAUUCUGGGAAUUACCUUCCUUUCCUUUCCUUUCCUUUCCUUUCCUUUCC
Non-coding RNA from Meleagris gallopavo (turkey), 4838 nucleotides. The record is from RefSeq and is a predicted model, not a curated record. NCBI's taxonomy places the organism in Eukaryota, Metazoa, Chordata, Aves, Galliformes, Phasianidae.